This 254-nucleotide ribosomal RNA is filed under the name uncultured bacterium. RNAcentral's name for it is "partial 16S ribosomal RNA". It matches the Rfam family "Bacterial small subunit ribosomal RNA", at positions 524 to 776 of the family's 1533-position model. The record is from RNAcentral.
UACGAAGGGGGGCUAGCGUUGCUCGGAAUUACUGGGCGUAAAGGGAGCGUAGGCGGACAUUUAAGUCAGGGGUGAAAUCCCGGAGCUCAACUCUGGAACUGCCUUUGAUACUGGGUGUCUUGAGUGUGAGAGAGGUAUGUGGAACUCCGAGUGUAGAGGUGAAAUUCGUAGAUAUUCGGAAGAACACCAGUGGCGAAGGCGACAUACUGGCUCAUUACUGACGCUGAGGCUCGAAAGCGUGGGGAGCAAACAGG